GGCCUAACACAUGUCAAGUCGAGGGGUAGAUGGAGCUUGCUUCAUUGAGACCGGCGCACGGGUGCGUAACGCGUAUGCAACCUACCCUUUUCUGGGGGAUAGCCCGAAGAAAUUCGGAUUAAUACCGCAUAAGACCACGGAACGGCAUCGUUCAGUGGUCAAACAUUUAUGGGAGAAGGAUGGGCAUGCGUGCCAUUAGCUAGUUGGCGGGGUAACGGCCCACCAAGGCGACGAUGGCUAGGGGAUCUGAGAGGAUGGCCCCCCACACUGGUACUGAGACACGGACCAGACUCCUACGGGAGGCAGCAGUAAGGAAUAUUGGUCAAUGGAGGCAACUCUGAACCAGCCAUGCCGCGUGCAGGAAGACGGCCCUCUGGGUUGUAAACUGCUUUUAUUCGGGAAUAAACCUAGAUACGUGUAUUUAGCUGAAUGUACCGAAGGAAUAAGGAU
Molecule: ribosomal RNA, 450 nt
Filed under: uncultured bacterium
Lineage: Bacteria
Description: bacterial SSU rRNA
Rfam family: Bacterial small subunit ribosomal RNA
Source: RNAcentral